CUUAGCUCUCCUUCUAGGCAACCAAGUGGUGUGCAUGAAGUGUUUGGGCUAUUUCUGAGCAAAAUUUGUGCAGUGAAGUUAUCCCUCUGCAUAGUAGUACUGGCCUUUCUACAGUGAACUUGGCUAGGUUGUGAAGUAAUUCCUUGGUAUAAUGUAUGAAUAUUUCAGAAGCCUUGACUGAUCACAGGAACCAUUCUACCUGACACACUAAUAAAGGCAAAUCUCACUUCCAGCACCUUACAAAACUACAGGAGGCAUAUUUGUGAUUCUUUGAAAAGGAAAGCCUGUGACAAAUGUAAAUAAUUCACAAAUGCUAAAACAUCUACUUCAUCUAAAUAAAUAUUUUUAAGUGUGG
This 355-nucleotide long non-coding RNA is filed under the name Gallus gallus (chicken). Lineage: Eukaryota; Metazoa; Chordata; Aves; Galliformes; Phasianidae. The record is from RNAcentral.